Molecule: long non-coding RNA, 141 nt
Organism: Oncorhynchus keta (chum salmon)
Lineage: Eukaryota; Metazoa; Chordata; Actinopteri; Salmoniformes; Salmonidae
Exons: 3
Source: RefSeq, a predicted model, not a curated record
UCACAGUGGUCAGGUAUUCUGCCACUGUGUACUCUCUGUUUAGGGUCAGUCACAGUGGACAGGUAUUCUGCCACUGUGUACUCUCUGUUUAGGGUCAGUCACAGUGGUCAGGUAUUCUGCCACUGUGUUCUCUCUGUUUAG